UACGAAGGGGGCUAGCGUUGCUCGGAAUGACUGGGCGUAAAGGGCGCGUAGGCGGAUGGCAUAGUCAGAUGUGAAAUUCCCGGGCUUAACCUGGGGACUGCAUUUGAUACGUGUCGUCUUGAGUUCGGAAGAGGGUCGUGGAAUUCCCAGUGUAGAGGUGAAAUUCGUAGAUAUUAGGAAGAACACCAGUGGCGAAGGCGGACUCACUGGUCCGGUACGUGACGCUGAGGUGCGAAAGCGUGGGGAGCAAACAGGG
RNAcentral lists this ribosomal RNA (256 nucleotides) under uncultured bacterium. RNAcentral's name for it is "partial 16S ribosomal RNA". It matches the Rfam family "Bacterial small subunit ribosomal RNA", at positions 524 to 777 of the family's 1533-position model. The record is from RNAcentral.